UGCUGCACAUUACCACUCGGAGACUAACUCCACAAUAUCCUCGUGCAGCUAGAGUUCUUAAUGUUAGGUGUUCUUUGAUUAGGCAUGAAGUUCUAAUAAAGGGGGUUGGGUACAGGUGGGCAUCCCCUCUAAGGAAUAAAUGGAAGGUAGGAAUGGUUAGGUUUUGGAACUUGGAUUCGCAUGAAAGCCGGGAGGGUGCAUCACUUUCUAAGAAAUGCUUUGUUUAAUAUAAAACUGCAGGUCUAAAUUAUGUAUGUAUUUGAUCAGCAAAUUUAUUCUUUUUCAGAUAUCGGUUGAUGCCAACGUAACCUUGGUGCCUGAAUUCCUGUAAAAUGGAGCUGGUGUGGCUUCCAUGUCAACAGGACUUUUGUGGAAGGUUUAAGAAAUUGUGCUUCUAUAGGAAAAUGUCCUGAUCUUGCUAUCCAGUUUUGAAGGAUAUUUAUUUUGGCUUUCGGUUGCCAGGCUGAUAUUGGUCAGUGAAUAUGAAUAUGGCUUUGAAGAUGGGACAAAAGGAAAUGUGCAAGCAGGAUUGGCAUAUCUUUAAAAUAAAAGGAAGCUUGUGAGGUUUCAAGGCUACCAACAUGACCUGCUUGAAAGAUGUCCAGGGCUUGUGGCCAUAUUGAAGCACACGGCUUGUCAGGAUGUGAAGUUUUAGAUUUGCCUUUGGUAUUUGGAGAGCACUGGCUGAUGGUAUUGACCAGUGACCAUGACCUUAAGUUAAAGGUAAGACCUCGUUUUUGUAUUGGAUAUAAACUUGGAUUUCCAUGAGAAUGUAGAUUAUGGCACAUUGUAUACAGGAUGAAAACCUUUUUUCAGAGCAUUGGGUUAUGAAAACCAUGAUUA
Penaeus indicus is the source of this 843-nucleotide long non-coding RNA. RefSeq lists it as uncharacterized. NCBI's taxonomy places the organism in Eukaryota, Metazoa, Arthropoda, Malacostraca, Decapoda, Penaeidae. The record is from RefSeq and is a predicted model, not a curated record. The transcript has 8 exons.